This 497-nucleotide ribosomal RNA is filed under the name uncultured bacterium. RNAcentral's name for it is "partial 16S ribosomal RNA". It matches the Rfam family "Bacterial small subunit ribosomal RNA", at positions 28 to 507 of the family's 1533-position model. The record is from RNAcentral.
GAUGAACGCUGGCGGCGUGCCUAAUACAUGCAAGUCGAGCGAACAGACGAGGAGCUUGCUCCUCUGACGUUAGCGGCGGACGGGUGAGUAACACGUGGAUAACCUACCUAUAAGACUGGGAUAACUUCGGGAAACCGGAGCUAAUACCGGAUAAUAUAUUGAACCGCAUGGUUCAAUAGUGAAAGACGGUUUUGCUGUCACUUAUAGAUGGAUCCGCGCCGCAUUAGCUAGUUGGUAAGGUAACGGCUUACCAAGGCAACGAUGCGUAGCCGACCUGAGAGGGUGAUAGGCCAAACUGGAACGGGGAAACGGUCCAAACUCCGACGGGAGGGAGCAGGAGGGAAUCUUCCGCAAUGGGCGAAAGCCUGGCGGAGCAAAGCCGCGUGAGUGAAGAAGGUCUUCGGAUCGUAAAACCCUGUUAUUAGGGAAGAACAAAUGUGUAAGUAACUAUGCACGUCUUGACGGUACCUAAUCAGAAAGCCACGGCUAACUACGUG